RNAcentral lists this ribosomal RNA (476 nucleotides) under uncultured bacterium. RNAcentral's name for it is "bacterial SSU rRNA". It matches the Rfam family "Bacterial small subunit ribosomal RNA", at positions 28 to 521 of the family's 1533-position model. The record is from RNAcentral.
GAUUAACGCUAGCGGAAGGCAUAAUACAUGCAAGUCGAACGGGAUAGAACUUAGCAAUAGGUUCUUGAGAGUGGCGCACGGGUGCGUAACACGUAUGCAACCUACCUUUAACUGGGGGAUAGCCUCUCGAAAGAGAGAUUAAUACCCCAUAGUAUAACUGAAGAGCAUUUUUGGUAUUAAAGAUUUAUCGGUUAAAGAUGGGCAUGCGGCUGAUUAGGUAGUUGGUGAGGUAAUGGCUCACCAAGCCAACGAUCAGUAGGGGGUCUGAGAGGAUGUCCCCCCACACUGGUACUGAGACACGGACCAGACUCCUACGGGAGGCAGCAGUGGGGGAUAUUGCACAAUGGGCGAAAGCCUGAUGCAGCGAUGCCGCGUGGGGGAAGAAGGUUUUCGGAUUGUAAACCCCUGUCUUCGGGGACGAUAAUGACGGUACCUGAAGAAUAAGCAUCGGCUAACUCCGUGCCAGCAGCCGCGGU